CAUAUCCUUCAACUUUGCUGCAUUUGUUUUAGUUCUAACAAUUUUUUGGUGGUGUCUUUAGGGUUUUCUUUUUUCUUUUUCUUUUUUUUUUUUGAGACAGAGUCUCGCUCUGUUGCCAGGCUGGAGUGCAGUGGCACGAUCUUGGCUCACUGCAGCCUCCGCCUGUCAGGUUCAAGCAAUUCUCCCGCCUCAGCCUCCUGAGUAGCUGGGAUUACAGGCGUCUGCCACCACGCCCAGCUAAUUUUUGUAUUUUUAGUAGAGACGGGGGUUUCACCAUGUUGGUCAGGCUGGUCUUGAACCCCUGACCUUGUGAUUCACCCGCCUCAGCCUCCCAAACUGCUGGGAUUACAGGCGUGAGCCACCGUGCCCGGCAAGGUUUUCUAUAUAUACAAUCUUGUCCGCAAAAAUGUAAUUUUACUUCUUCUUUUCCAAUUUGGUUGGCUUUUCUCCUUCCUUCCCUCCCUUCCUUUGUUGUUCUUUUUUGUCUAAUAAUUCUGAUGAGGGCUUCCAAUACAACAUUGACUAGAAGUGGUGGGAGUGCUUAUCUUAUUCCAGAUCUUAGAGAAAAAGCAUUCCAUUUUUUUCCUGUUCAGUAUGAUGUUUGCCGUAGGUUUGUCAUAUAAAGCUUUCAUUGUGUUGAGAUAUGUUCCUUCUAUACCUAAUUUGUUGUGAGUUUUUUUUGUUUUGUUUUGCUUUGUUUUGUUUGAGACGGAGUCUCACUCUGUCGCCAGGCUGGAGUGCAGUGGCACGAUCUCAAUUCACUGCAUCCUCUGCUUCCUGGGUUCAAGUGAUCCUCCUGCCUCAGCCUCCCGAGUUGCUGGGACUACAGGCAUGUGCCACCACGCCCAGCUAAUUUUUUGUAUUUUUAGUAGAGAUGGGGUUUCACCAUGCUGGCCAGGAUGGUCUCGAUCUCUUGACCUCAUGAUCCCGCCUCGGCUUCCCACAGUGCUGGGUUUACAGGCAUAAGCCACUGCGCCCGGCCCUGUUGUGAGUUUUUAUCAUGAAUAUAUGGAAUGUUAUCAAGUCAUUUUCUGCAUAUAUUGAAAUGAUAUUUUUUUCUUGUUGAUUCUGUUACUGUGAUGUAUCACGUUUAUUGGUUUCCAUAUGUUGAACUAUCCCUACACCCAUGGGAUACAUCCUACUUGGUCAGGAGUUCGAGACCAGCCUGGCCAACAUGGUGAAACCCUGUCUCUACUAAAAAUGCAAAAAAAUUAGCAAGGUUUGGUGAGGCAUGCCUGUAAUCUCAGCUACUCUGGAGGCUGACCAGGAGAAUCGCUUGACGUGGGAGGUGGAGGUUGCAGUGAGCUGAGAUCAUGCCACUGCACUCCAGCCUGGGUGACUCCAUCUCAAAAAAAAAAGUGAGACUCCAUCUCAAAAAAAUAAA
This 1384-nucleotide long non-coding RNA is filed under the name Homo sapiens (human). RNAcentral's name for it is "HSALNT0255952". The record is from RNAcentral. Lineage: Eukaryota; Metazoa; Chordata; Mammalia; Primates; Hominidae.